CACACACACACACACACACAAAAAGGCACAUACGGUCCACUAUCUUUACAUUUCCACAAAAUGCAUCUCAAGGGAUUUUCCUGUCUUCCUGCAAAUUUUUCAAGAUAGGUUUGAGAGCAUUUAUGUUUAAAUAUGAUAUUCAUCUGCUUAAUAGACAUUUCCACUAAAAAAGGCCACCACUGUACUCUGCAGUUGGAGCACUUCUUACUGAAGGAUUUGGCUUCAUCUUCAAGUUUGGACUUUAAGUCUUCCUGAUAGAGGAAGACAGCAGCUUGAAAUAUGUCUAAAUUUAACUUCUUUCCUUAUGUGUAAACUGUCAUAAUGACAAACUCAUCUACAUGUGAAUACAGCUUUACUAAUAAGCUUCCCUGAACUUCCAGAAAAGGACACGGAAUAUUCUGUGUAGUACUCAAAGGCAAGUACCCUGUCCCUGUCACCCUAAGCUGGGACUUUCUGAUGCUGCUCUCAAGCAGAGGAAGUGCUGGAGGAAACACUCUCCUUGGACUCUAUAACCCUGAAGAUGCAGAGAAACAGCCAGCAGCUGCAGUUUAUAGUCGAACCCCAGGAUAGCAAGUCUCAGUAUAGUUCCUGGUAACAAUGGCUGGAUGAGAGCCAUAGCGUACAUCUCUGCAGACAUAGCUCAUGUUCCUGAAUCCAGGGGCCUGAGUGCUGUACCUGAAACCUAAAAAACCGCAGGUUUUUAUCUGCUUCCUACUCCAACUGCUGACAAGCAAUGGAUGCUCUCAUGUGGAGAUUUCUUCUGAGCAGUGAAAGAGAGAGAAAAAAAAAAAAGCAAUGGGUCUGUGAACAGAACAGUGUGAAAGUGUGUCAGAUGCAAGAGCAAAUUUUUGUUUUACUCCAGGAAAGACUUGCCUCCCAUCUGACACAUUUAUUGGCUCUGUCUCUCAAAGUGUGUGUUUGCUUGAAGUUGCUGACUUUAGUCUUGUUUCUACUCCUUGUUGUUUCUCUUAUUGAUGGCUUCUCCAAACUCACAGCACUGUGUUUAACAAGGAAGUGAUGGGCUGCUGAUCAAAGGUGUGCCUGAUAAUCAAAACCCUUCUAGGUUCUUCUGUGGUGAGAUGAUAUAGCACUCUACCUCAUCCUCUCUUCCUGCCAGUACUGCCUGGAAACAACUCUGGGAUAAUCUCAGGAGGCCUGUUACCUUAAUUGCAUGCAUCAAACACUUUAUUUUGCAAUAAAAGCAGCUACAAAUGUGCUGUUAGACAACUUCCUACUGGUAGCCAAAUAUUGUAUACCUAGAGAUAAAACAGAUUCUAUAAAAAUAUUGGUUAAUUAAUAUGGGACAGAUUUUCAUGGAGGAGCACUAAUUACAUGUGACAUCUUAUUAUUUGUAUUAAAUGUAGUUGCCCUGGGAGAGAUGGCAAGGUGUCAAUGAACAUAAGGCUCUGAGAAGAGGAACUUUUAUAAGCCAUUACCAGAUACUGCAAACCACCAAACCACCAUAAACCACUGGAAACCACUGAAUGGGAGUGAGAAUUAGUGCACUCAUCAAUGUUUAGUCACCACAGAUAUAAGGAAUGAAGGAUAUAAGAGCCUGAAAACAUUCAAGAGGAAAAUGUCCAAAUAUAGAUCUUUCUGUUGUCAAAUGGAUGCUUGGCAGAGGGAAAUCACUAUACUAGAUGAUGGGAGAUACACCAAUUGUCUAGAGCUUUUCUCAGAUUAUGAAGACUCUUCAGCUAUCUUAAGGAUUUCUCUGUUCUCUGAAGGCCUUCUACUCAAGGCCAGAAGUGAGAAAGAAGAUGGGAACUGUGCAUUCAAACCUAGGGAUUGAGAAGGGUGGAAUAUGGCUAAUCUUUGAUUCAGUUUUGUUCUGUUGGAGCAUGAGGAGUUGGGUAGAAAACAGCAUGCAGCUUCUGACUGAAAGGGGCA
This is a long non-coding RNA of Gallus gallus (chicken), 1890 nucleotides long. Lineage: Eukaryota; Metazoa; Chordata; Aves; Galliformes; Phasianidae. The record is from Ensembl.